UAACCGUGUUACUAUCCAUCUCGGAAAAAUUAACAUUCUCGUCAGAAACUACAUUUGUUUUACCAGCCUUCCCAAAUGUCCCACCCACUUUGUCUUGUUUAAUCGCGUCAUUAUCAAAACUGUGCCUUGAAGUGCCACCAAUGCUGUCUAGAUUCAUAUCAAGCGGUGAACUUGAAUGUUUUUCUUUAGUAGCAAAAGUCAAGAUAUUCCCUUGCUUAGAGUCAUUCAUCUUUGUGUCCAUCA
Molecule: long non-coding RNA, 243 nt
Filed under: Nicotiana benthamiana
Lineage: Eukaryota; Viridiplantae; Streptophyta; Magnoliopsida; Solanales; Solanaceae
Description: long non-coding RNA (NBEN_LNC001135)
Source: RNAcentral